RNAcentral lists this transfer RNA (72 nucleotides) under Loxodonta africana (African savanna elephant). It matches the Rfam family "tRNA". From Rfam's summary of the family: Transfer RNA (tRNA) molecules are approximately 80 nucleotides in length. Their secondary structure includes four short double-helical elements and three loops (D, anti-codon, and T loops). Lineage: Eukaryota; Metazoa; Chordata; Mammalia; Proboscidea; Elephantidae. The record is from Rfam by way of RNAcentral.
GCCCUGGUGGUGCAAAGGUUAAGCACUCGGCUGCUAACUGAAAGGUUGGAGGUUCAAAUCCUCCUGAUGGCU